UUAAUUGAAGCCAAAAAUAAGGCACUUUAUUGUUAAUAAAGUUAUUGAAUAUAUAAUUUCCAGUUAAA
Molecule: transfer RNA, 68 nt
Filed under: Magicicada septendecula (seventeen-year cicada)
Lineage: Eukaryota; Metazoa; Arthropoda; Insecta; Hemiptera; Cicadidae
Also listed under: 1 other name
Description: tRNA-Asn
Source: RNAcentral